Molecule: ribosomal RNA, 305 nt
Filed under: uncultured bacterium
Lineage: Bacteria
Description: bacterial SSU rRNA
Rfam family: Bacterial small subunit ribosomal RNA
Source: RNAcentral
GCCUACGGGGCGCAGCAGUGGGGGAUAUUGCACAAUGGGGGGAACCCUGAUGCAGCGACGCCGCGUGAGUGAAGAAGUAUUUCGGUAUGUAAAGCUUUAUCAGCAGGGAAGAAAGAAAUGACGGUACCUGACUAAGAAGCCCCGGCUAACUACGUGCCAGCAGCCGCGGUAAUACGUAGGGGGCAAGCGUUAUCCGGAUUUACUGGGUGUAAAGGGAGCGCAGGCGGCUUGGCAAGUCUGAUGUGAAAGGCUGGGGCUCAACCCCAGGACUGCAUUGGAAACUGUUAGGCUGGAGUGUCGGAGAG